Molecule: long non-coding RNA, 410 nt
Organism: Contarinia nasturtii (swede midge)
Lineage: Eukaryota; Metazoa; Arthropoda; Insecta; Diptera; Cecidomyiidae
Exons: 3
Source: RefSeq, a predicted model, not a curated record
GCCCACGAUUUAAAUUUCGCGGCAUUUUGUAUUCGAUUAUUAGUAUUAUCGGAUUGUGGAAAAUAUGCGGAAGCAACACAAGUAAUCAGAAGCUAUCAAGAUAAAUAUCCGCAUAUGCGUAUACCAAAAAGUGUGGCGAAUAGAAUGAGAGAAAAUUUAAACAAAUACGACCAAACUGUAGAUGCGAAUAACUUUUAUAACUUACUGAACGAUUUAAAAUCGAGCCACAAAAAUUACUAUUGACGAAAUGCUUUGUCGGCCCAUUGCUUUGAUUCCGAAGAAAAAUGUCAAAACAAAUAGAAUCGGAUUAAUUUUUAAAUAAAGAGGAAAAAGUUUUUGUUUGAAAUGUUAUUUCUUCUCAAUCGUCCAUAUUUGGUCAAGCAAAUAAAAACACAUCUAGUACUUUGAAA